RNAcentral lists this ribosomal RNA (254 nucleotides) under uncultured bacterium. RNAcentral describes it as "partial 16S ribosomal RNA". It matches the Rfam family "Bacterial small subunit ribosomal RNA", at positions 524 to 776 of the family's 1533-position model. The record is from RNAcentral.
CACGUCGGGUGCGAGCGUUGUCCGGAAUUAUUGGGCGUAAAGAGCUCGUAGGCGGUGUGUCGCGUCGGCCGUGAAAACCUGCAGCUUAACUGUGGGCGUGCGGUCGAUACGGGCAUCACUGGAGUUCGGCAGGGGAGACUGGAAUUCCUGGUGUAGCGGUGAAAUGCGCAGAUAUCAGGAGGAACACCGGUGGCGAAGGCGGGUCUCUGGGCCGAUAUUGACGCUGAGGAGCGAAAGCGUGGGGAGCAAACAGG